CGGAGCCGCAGCUCCCGCAGACCUCCAGGAGGAGGCGGCGCAGGCUGCAGUUCCUGCUGCAGCUCCUGCGGACCUCCAGGAGGAGGUCACGCCUGCUGCGGCUCCUGCGGACCUCCAGGAGGAGGUCACGCUGGAGAUGCUGCCGCGGUUCCCGCCGACCUCCAGGAGGAGGUCGCGCCAGCUGGAGUUGCUGCCGCGGUUCCCGCCGACCUCCAGGAGGAGGUCGCGCCAGCUGGAGUUGUUGCCGCGGUUCCCGCCGACCUCCAGGAGGAGGUCGCGCCAGCUGGAGUUGCUGCCGCGGUUCCCGCCGACCUCCAGGAGGAGGUCGCGCCAGCUGGAGUUGCUGCCGAGGUUCCAGGAGGAGGUCGCCCCCGUCGUGGUUCCAGCCGACCUCCAGGAGGAGGUCGCCCCCGUCCUAGUUCCUGCCGACGUCCAGGAGAAGGUCGCUCCUGCAUCGGUUCCUGGUGGCUCGGCUCCCGCCGCAUCUGCAUCAGUUCCUGGCGGCUCGGCUCCGGCCGCACCUGCAUCGGUUCCUGGCGGAUCGGUCCCGGCUGCACCUGCAUCGGUUCCUGGCGGCUCGGCCCCGGCCGCACCUGCAUCGGUUCCUGGCGGCUCGGCCCCGGCCGCACCUGCAUCGGUUCCUGGCGGCUCGGCCCCGGCCGCACCUGCAUCGGUUCCUGGCGGCUCGGCCCCGGCCGCACCUGCAUCUGUUCCCAAUGGUGGUCCGGAGGAGGCCACGUCUGCUCCUGUUUCUCGUUGCGGUGGUCCAAGGAGGACGCCGCUGGUUCCUGUUUCUCGUCGCGGUGGUCCACGGAGGACGCCGCUGGUUCCUGUGUCUCGUCGCGGUGGUCCAAGGAGGACGCCGCUGGUUCCUGUGUCUCGUCGCGGUGGUCCAAGGAGGGCGCCGCUGGUUCCGGUUUCUCGUCGCGGUGGUCCAAGGAGGACGCUGCUGGUUCCGGUUUCUCGUCGCGGUGGUCCAAGGUGGACGCCGCUGGUUUCCCUGCACUCUGGCGGCGGUCUGGAGCUGCAUAGUUGUCUCGUGGACUGGUGGCCUCGCCCGCGGCGCAUCCGGCGGUGUGGAUGGCGCUGCCUCCUGCGGCGACGUCCGCCUCGACUCCUCAGCCCCUCGGAUCAGCGUCCGCCUGGAGGACGUUGCCAUUCGGGGUGGUCCCCGGGGACGUUGGCCCAGCUCAAGGGCACUAAGAGUGCCACCCGGGCUCAGCGGCGGCUGAGCAGGAUCUCGCCACGCCUUCACCCUCCGUGAGGGAAUCCCUGGACUUCGUGUUUUUUCCCGUUCGUGGACUUGGGUUUUGUCGUGUGGUCUCUUGUUUUGGCCCUCCCCCGGUCCUCCCUCCACCCACCCUGCUCGUUUGCCUUGAGGGGUAGGGAUUCGGUCCCUCCUCCUGGGACCAACCUCCGCC
RNAcentral lists this long non-coding RNA (1421 nucleotides) under Betta splendens (Siamese fighting fish). RNAcentral's name for it is "lncRNA (ENSBSLG00000005253.1)". Lineage: Eukaryota; Metazoa; Chordata; Actinopteri; Anabantiformes; Osphronemidae. The record is from RNAcentral.